This 302-nucleotide long non-coding RNA is filed under the name Nicotiana benthamiana. RNAcentral's name for it is "long non-coding RNA (NBEN_LNC029632)". Lineage: Eukaryota; Viridiplantae; Streptophyta; Magnoliopsida; Solanales; Solanaceae. The record is from RNAcentral.
AUCGAUCCAAAGCCUUUCUCCAAUUUGAGUGUGUCAGAGUUCCCUAAGAGCCUCAAUGGGACUCUGGGCAGUUCUCACACCCAAAUUGCAUAACUAGAAUUGGGACAAGUGCAGUGCGGAAGGGCCAGCUUCAAGGGUCCAAGUUCAAAGGGAGCUCAAUGGAUCCCAAGGAAAAGCUCACAAGAGGGGUGCAGAACUUAAGUCUAAGACAGAGUGCAAGUGAGAAAUAGAGUUCUGAGGGAAUAAAUAAGAGGGAAACAGCCACAAACAAGUUGAUAAUCUCAUACAAAAGGGGUCCAGGG